This 382-nucleotide ribosomal RNA is filed under the name uncultured eukaryote. RNAcentral's name for it is "partial 18S ribosomal RNA". It matches the Rfam family "Eukaryotic small subunit ribosomal RNA", at positions 592 to 976 of the family's 1831-position model. The record is from RNAcentral.
CAAUAGCGUAUAUUAAAGUUGUUGCAGUUAAAAAGCUCGUAGUUGGAUUUCUGGUUGAAGCGACCGGUCGGGCGUUGAUUCGUCUGCACUGGAGUCGGUUUUGGCCAUCCUCUAGGAAAGUGCGUCUGGUAUUUAGUUAUCGGGCGUAUGAUCCUGGUCUUUUACUGUGAAAAAAUUAGAGUGUUUAAAGCAGGCCUUCGCCUUGAAUACAUUAGCAUGGAAUAAUAAGGUAGGACUUUGGUCUAUUUUGUUGGUUUGCAGACCGAAGUAAUGAUUAAUAGGGAUAGUUGGGGGUAUUUAUAUUCCGAUGUCAGAGGUGAAAUUCUUAGAUUUUCGGAAGAUAAACUUAUGCGAAAGCAUUUACCAAGGAUGUUUNCAUUAA